This 1512-nucleotide ribosomal RNA is filed under the name Triticum aestivum (bread wheat). RNAcentral's name for it is "partial small subunit ribosomal RNA". Lineage: Eukaryota; Viridiplantae; Streptophyta; Magnoliopsida; Poales; Poaceae. The record is from RNAcentral.
AUGUCGUCGUCCAGACGGUGGUCCUCCUCCCCCUCCUCCGGCACGGACCACCUGCCCGGCCGCUCUGUCAUCCCUGCCGCGGCGCUCUCGCCCUUGCGCCACAGCGCCCGCCGCUCCGCCUCCCGCUCCGACACGGCCGCCCCAUCAGGAGCCCCCGCCGCCCCCGCUCGCAGCAUGUGGCCUUCCUCCUCUGACGGCAAGAUCAAGAAGCCGUCCCCGUCGCCCUUGACCCCCGCGCCGCCCUCGGUGGCCACCCUCGCCGACCACCUGACCAACGACGCCAUGGACAGCGCCAACGCCGUUCCCGUGGCGGCGCCGUCGCUGCAGUCGCUCUCCCGCCAGCGCAGCUGCACCGAGCUCCCGCGCUUCGCGGAGGCCGACGCCGACGCCGAGGAGAGAAAGAUCGGCAGGUCGUCCGGGAAGGGCGCCGGCCACGCCUUCGGCCGCUCCAUGCGCUUCCUGCCGUCGUCCAAGCCCGCUGCCGUCACGCUCACCCCGGGCCGCGUCGCGCCGUCGGACCUCCGCAGGCUCGCCGCUGGCUACUCUCUGGACGCCCGCGCCGACGUCGCGAGCUCCGGGUCCGAGUGCAGCGACGCCUCCAGGGGGUCCAGCGCAAAGUCGGCGAUCCCCAAACCCAACUCGCCGAUGAUCGCCCGUACGAGCUCCGUCCGGCUGCUCGGCUCGAGCAACUCGCAGUGGGCGCUCUCGCCGGGGCGCCGGAGUAGCUCGCCCGCCAAGACGCUGGCGACCGUGUCGGAGUCCAAGGGGAAGAAGAGCCUGUUGAGCAUGGGGUGGGGACAUCUGUUUAACAGGAAGAAGUCCGGCGGAGCGGAUAACUCCAUUCCUGCGAUCCCGGCCACCGUGCCGUCGUCGCCGGUGUCACGCAGCAACGGGGGAAUAGGGGAGACCGGACACCAGAUGAGGAUGAUGCAUUGCCGCUUCUUGCAGUGGCGCUUCAUGAACGCCAAGGCAGACGCCGCGUGCAAGAGCAAGGCGGCCAACGCCGAGGUUCAGUUGAUGGGUACAUGGGCCCGGGUGUCGGAGCUAAGAGGAAAGGUAGCAAGGAAGCAAGCGCAACUCGAGAAGGGGAAGUUGAAGUUUAGGUUGAAUGAGAUACUCUCUUUGCAGAUGAGGGAUUUAGAGAAUUGGGGGCAGCUGGAGAGCAAGCAUUCCUUCGCUCUGGAGUCCACAGUUGAGUGUGCCAAAUCAGCCAUUUGCAGGCUUCCUCUUACAAAUGGUGCAAAGGCCUCCCUUCCGGCAAUGGCAUCCAUUCUCGAGCAGAUGUUCGAGCUCACAAUGACGGCCAGGAUUUCAGUUCGCUCCUUUAGCCCUAUGGCUCAAGAUACGACCGUGGUGAUCUCGAAGCUGAGUCGCGUGGCUAGUGAGGAGCGAGCUCUGUUACAGGAGUGUCACGAGUUGCUUGGACGGCUCUCUGCACUGCAGAUUGAAGAACAGAGUUUGCGUUGCCAUAUGGUGCAAUCGUCGUCUUUGAAUCUUGUGAAUGUGAAUUAG